CUCUGGAGCCCGGCCGCGCUGCAGCCGCGGAUCCGAGCGGCAGCUACCUGGCCGAGCCGGGGGAGGGUGGGUGCCGGCAGGAGGAGGGCUCCGGGCGUCGGGAGGCUGGAGGGAACGCCCACCUCCCGCCGGCACGCCCAGUGGGCUACGGCCAGGGGUGCAUCGGGUGCCUCCUUUGGAGUGCCCAGGUACGCGCCGUACCUGGCGUGUUCUGCAGUCGUGCCCUCCCCAGUUAGGAGGCUUCGUGCAAGCCACAGUGCUUACAGCACUUCGGAGGCUCUCUGGCUCCUGCGGCCGCCCUUGGACUUCAGGAAAUGUGGCCGCAUUGCAACCCUGCCCCGCGACGGUUGCACUUCGAAGGAUGCCAGAGGCCUGAAGUGACGAAAACUUUCUUCUGAGCGGAAGCCUGCGGGAGCUUUAUGCAGAAGACGUUUCAGUGGGGAAUGCACAUCGGGGGCAGGAUGGUGGCCACGUUCUUAGACUGGACGCGGGCCUGUCACCGGGUUGAUCGCGGUGACCUGGGGGACGGAGCCCUGUGAACAGAGACCGCUGGAGGAACAGGUGUUCGCACAGCGUGACGGUGUCCGUGAGGGUCUCCCCUGCCUUCCGGGGGAAGCGGCGCCCUGCUCCGCGAGCGCUGACUUUGGCUUUGGAGGGAAGAAGGCCUGGGCAUGAACAGACUCCGCCUCCUGGAGCCGACCAUAUCUAGGUACCCACAGGCGCAAAGGCGCUGGAGGAGAUGAAGCAGGCCCAGUGUCCACGCAGCCCACAAAUGUGUGUGGUUGUGCAAAGGGGUUACGUGCUGUGGGUCAGCCCCAUAUCACUCUUCGCCCCCGGGUGUCAGGUUCUGGGCAGUGUCUUGGCCUGCACACCCCACGGGCCCCAGUCCCUCCUACAUGCAGACCCGUCCCUACCUGCUCCGUUGGUCCCUGUGUCCCUCACCCUGGGACACCCCAGUCACCUCCCGUUCUGUCACUAAACCCCAGGAAGCUCCACACCCUCUGCCUCCACUUCCUCAGUGUGCACAGUUCUGACCCCAUGGAGCCCCGCUCCUUUCCCCCCGCCGCACCCCCGUGGCUCUCCCCGAGUGCGACCACGCUGGCCUGCGUUCACCGGCCCUGGGCGCCACGGAGAGGAGCCGGCUCCAGGGGCGCGGGCCUGGCGCUUGCGCUUAGUGAGCGGUUGCCAGUGGGUGUCGAUGAAAAGGGGCCAUUCCCGGUGCAGCGGAGGGCAGACUAAGGAGGAGAGCGGGUUGGCUCUGGGGACAAAGACAGCUCAGCUCGUCCAGCAGAGUGACACCCGAGAUGCUGCUUGAGGGUGGAGCAGGCAGGUGAGAAGGGGGAGGAAGCGCGGGCAGGUGAGGACGGACGCCAUACCUGAAGGACUCGGGCCGUGGGGGGCCCUGCGGCAGCACCCACUUUUAUUCUUCAAUUAGACGCCCCCUAGAAGAAUGCCGUGUAUUUCCCACACACCUUUCCAAGUUCACUUAGUCUCUAAAAUUAUUUUACCCCGAGUCGACUUGCAAAAGUUCUGACGAGUUGUAAACGACAUUUUAACAUGAGGUAGUGACAGGAAUCUGUUAAAUGGACCCCGCGUGUCAAAACACCUGAGUGAUUUCACACCCAGCAGCAUCCACUUAAAAAUACUCAGCGUUUCUACCAAUUAGAAUUUCAUAUUGGCCCUUUCUCUUUUUGAAAACAUUUUCAUUCCACAGACUUUACCUUAAUGGAAAACCUUUUUUGCUUCAAAGCCUUUUAUCGAUCAGACUGUUUAAUCAAGGUUCUGCGUGGAAAUUUCUUCUGGAUCGAACCAUCACUGUUCCUAGCAGUAUAAUUUAAUCAAUAUGUAUCGCAUAACCUGAUGUGUAAUUACUGUAAAUAAAAAUAAAGUUUUACUUGAAA
Phyllostomus hastatus (greater spear-nosed bat) is the source of this 1901-nucleotide long non-coding RNA. RefSeq lists it as uncharacterized. The record is from RefSeq and is a predicted model, not a curated record. NCBI's taxonomy places the organism in Eukaryota, Metazoa, Chordata, Mammalia, Chiroptera, Phyllostomidae. The transcript has 2 exons.